AUUGAACGCUGGCGGCAGGCCUAACACAUGCAAGUCGAGCGGAUGAAGAGAGCUUGCUCUCUGAUUUAGCGGCGGACGGGUGAGUAAUGCCUAGGAAUCUGCCUGGUAGUGGGGGAUAACGUUCCGAAAGGAACGCUAAUACCGCGUACGCCCUACGGGAGAAAGCAGGGGACCUUCGGGCCUUGCGCUAUCAGAUGAGCCUAGGUCGGAUUAGCUAGUUGGUGAGGUAAUGGCUCACCAAGGCUACGAUCCGUAACUGGUCUGAGAGGAUGAUCAGUCACACUGGAACUGAGACACGGUCCAGACUCCUACGGGAGGCAGCAGUGGGGAAUAUUGGACAAUGGGCGAAAGCCUGAUCCAGCCAUGCCGCGUGUGUGAAGAAGGACUUCGGAUUGUAAAGCACUUUAAGUUGGGAGGAAGGGCGUUUGGCUAAUAUCCAGGCGUUUUGACGUUACCAACAGAAUAAGCACCGGCUAACUUCGUGCCAGCAGCCGCCGUAA
Molecule: ribosomal RNA, 500 nt
Filed under: uncultured bacterium
Lineage: Bacteria
Description: partial 16S ribosomal RNA
Rfam family: Bacterial small subunit ribosomal RNA
Source: RNAcentral